RNAcentral lists this ribosomal RNA (253 nucleotides) under uncultured bacterium. Its description in RNAcentral is "partial 16S ribosomal RNA". It matches the Rfam family "Bacterial small subunit ribosomal RNA", at positions 524 to 776 of the family's 1533-position model. The record is from RNAcentral.
UACGUAGGGGGCGAGCGUUGUCCGGAAUUAUUGGGCGUAAAGGGCGCGCAGGCGGUCCCUUCAGUCUGGUGUGAAAUCCCACGGCUCAUGCGUGGGCGGUCAUUGGAAACUGAGGGACUUGAGUGCAGGAGAGGAGAGCGGAAUUCCCGGUGUAGCGGUGAAAUGCGUAGAGAUCGGGAAGAACCCCAGUGGCGAAGGCGGUUCUCUGGCCUGCAACUGACGCUGAGGCGCGAAAGCGUGGGGAGCAAACAGG